Long non-coding RNA from Onychostoma macrolepis, 907 nucleotides. RefSeq lists it as uncharacterized. NCBI's taxonomy places the organism in Eukaryota, Metazoa, Chordata, Actinopteri, Cypriniformes, Cyprinidae. The transcript is spliced from 5 exons. The record is from RefSeq and is a predicted model, not a curated record.
UAGCACACAGACAUCGACACAACACCUGCCACAAACCUCCAAUCUCUGCUUUUAUUCCAGUCAACAUGUUCUCCUUGAUGAAACUUUCCUUAAACCUCAUGAGAAGGAUGAAGCUGAGCUAAACAUAGACGGGGGAAACGACCUUAUUAUCAGCGAUUGUUCCUGCUGUUCAAGGAAAAUGCACUGGUAACAACUAAAAAAAGACGACCAAAAAUAUAAUUCAACAGAGGAUGAUGGCUGUGGUGAAACAAGCACUCAAAUAAUGGAACUAAGACCAGUGGGAGUGCUGGAGAAAUCAAGUGUAUAAGUCCUCUGUCGUCUCAUCCAUGGAAGAGAUCUUCAGACAUGAAGAGAUCGAGGAGUUAAAUGAAAUCAAAGAGCUAAAAGAAGAUCUACAAUAUUAGUGCCAUUUCAGUAUGAAAACAGAGAGAGAGCUGAGGCAGUGGAAAGAAAUGCAUGUUAUUGUUCAAGGGGUAGUUGAAUGGACUAUCAAUGCAGGAACAGAAAGCUCUGAGAUUUCAUUAUAAAGAUCUUCAAUUGUGUUCUGAAGAUGAAUGAAGGACUUGCGGGUUUGGAACGAUAUGAGGACUACAUCCAAAAUAGUGUUUCCACAUCUGAGAUGAAGGCAAUCAUAAGAACCAAGCAAAACGAUGAGGAUAAGCUCUUCAAAAAAUGAAACCCGUCAGAAUAAUGCGGGAAGAAAUGUGCAUGAUUGUGUGAUUUGUAAAUAAACACUAAAUACAUUUAGUGUAACUCUCAGCCUGUUAUUUUAAGUUUAAAGAAAAGUAAAAUCAUUUAUUGUUGCAUUGCUGUUUGAGACAUUCACUGUUGUUUUGUACCUUAAUUUAUUAUAUUGCAGUUGUGUAAAAUAAAACUUGUUAUUCUGAAUAUUCUGGUUGCAUUUCAG